GCAUAUCAAUAAGCGGAGGAAAAGAAACUAACAAGGAUUCCCCUAGUAACGGCGAGUGAACAGGGAACAAGCUCAAAGUUGGAAUCUAUCUGGCUUAGCCAGAUCGAAUUGUAAACUUUAGAGUCGUUAUCCAGGUCAGCCGAGUAAAUAAGUUCCUUGGAAUAGGACAUCAUGGAGGGUGAGAAUCCCGUCUUUGGCUUGAGCAUUGACCUUUUUGUGAUGCGGCUUCAACGAGUCAGGUUGUUUGGGAAUGCAGCCUUAAUUGGGUGGUAAAUCUCACCUAAAGCUAAAUAUUGGCGAGAGACCGAUAGCGAACAAGUACCGUGAGGGAAAGAUGAAAAGAACUUUGAAAAGAGAGUUAAACAGUAUGUGAAAUUGCUGAAAGGGAACCGUUUGAAGCCAGUCUGGCUGGUCUGCAAUCAGCUUCAGCUUUUUGUUGGAGUGCACUUGUAGGCCGUUCGCCUGCCAACAACAGUUUAUACUGCAGCAAAAAGGUGCCGAGAAUGUGGCUUUCCUUCGGGAAAGUGUUAUAGCUCGGUACGAAAUACUGUGGUUUAGACUGAGGCUCGCAGUGAAUGCUUUUUUGGCUUUGGAAGUGGGUCGCUCAGAUAUUCAUGAGUUAGUUUUUCGGCCGUAAAAAAGUCGUGCUGGCUUAUGCGUGUUUGACCCGGCUUGCUUGCUUUUAAUUCACUUUGGUUGUUGGCGUAAUGGCUUUAAACGACCCGUCUUGAAACACGG
Molecule: ribosomal RNA, 738 nt
Filed under: Saksenaea vasiformis
Lineage: Eukaryota; Fungi; Mucoromycota; Mucoromycetes; Mucorales; Saksenaeaceae
Description: eukaryotic LSU rRNA
Rfam family: Eukaryotic large subunit ribosomal RNA
Source: RNAcentral